GGAAGUAAAAGUCGUAACAAGGUCUCCGUUGGUGAACCAGCGGAGGGAUCAUUACAGAGUUAUCCAACUCCCAAACCCAUGUGAACUUAUCUCUUUGUUGCCUCGGCGCAAGCUACCCGGGACCUCGCGCCCCGGGCGGCCCGCCGGCGGACAAACCAAAACUCUUGUUAUCUUAGUUGAUUAUCUGAGUGUCUUAUUUAAUAAGUCAAAACUUUCAACAACGGAUCUCUUGGUUCUGGCAUCGAUGAAGAACGCAGCGAAAUGCGAUAAGUAAUGUGAAUUGCAGAAUUCAGUGAAUCAUCGAAUCUUUGAACGCACAUUGCGCCCAUUAGUAUUCUAGUGGGCAUGCCUGUUCGAGCGUCAUUUCAACCCCUAAGCACAGCUUAUUGUUGGGAACCUACGGCUUCGUAGUUCCUCAAAGACAUUGGCGGAGUGGCAGUGGUCCUCUGAGCGUAGUAAUCUUUUAUCUCGCUUCUGUUAGGUGCUGCCCCCCCGGCCGUAAAACCCCCAAUUUUUUCUGGUUGACCUCGGAUCAGGUAGGAAUACCCGCUGAACUUAAGCAUAUCAAUAAGCGGAGGAA
This 580-nucleotide ribosomal RNA is filed under the name Nigrospora sp. LH4. RNAcentral describes it as "eukaryotic LSU rRNA". The stretch from base 210 to 363 matches the Rfam family "5.8S ribosomal RNA". The record is from RNAcentral. Lineage: Eukaryota; Fungi; Ascomycota; Sordariomycetes; Amphisphaeriales; Apiosporaceae.